This 523-nucleotide ribosomal RNA is filed under the name Penicillium griseofulvum. RNAcentral's name for it is "eukaryotic LSU rRNA". The stretch from base 144 to 296 matches the Rfam family "5.8S ribosomal RNA". Lineage: Eukaryota; Fungi; Ascomycota; Eurotiomycetes; Eurotiales; Aspergillaceae. The record is from RNAcentral.
CCCGUGUUUAUUUACCUUGUUGCUUCGGCGGGCCCGCCUUAACUGGCCGCCGGGGGGCUCACGCCCCCGGGCCCGCGCCCGCCGAAGACACCCUCGAACUCUGUCUGAAGAUUGAAGUCUGAGUGAAAAUAUAAAUUAUUUAAAACUUUCAACAACGGAUCUCUUGGUUCCGGCAUCGAUGAAGAACGCAGCGAAAUGCGAUACGUAAUGUGAAUUGCAAAUUCAGUGAAUCAUCGAGUCUUUGAACGCACAUUGCGCCCCCUGGUAUUCCGGGGGGCAUGCCUGUCCGAGCGUCAUUGCUGCCCUCAAGCCCGGCUUGUGUGUUGGGCCCCGUCCUCCGAUUCCGGGGGACGGGCCCGAAAGGCAGCGGCGGCACCGCGUCCGGUCCUCGAGCGUAUGGGGCUUUGUCACCCGCUCUGUAGGCCCGGCCGGCGCUUGCCGAUCAACCCAAAUUUUUAUCCAGGUUGACCUCGGAUCAGGUAGGGAUACCCGCUGAACUUAAGCAUAUCAAUAAGCGGAGGAA